GAUGAACGCUGGCGGCGUGCCUAAUACAUGCAAGUCGAGCGAACGGACGAGAAGCUUGCUUUUCUGAUGUUAGCGGCGGACGGGUGAGUAACACGUGGAUAACCUACCUAUAAGACUGGGAUAACUUCGGGAAACCGGAGCUAAUACCGUAUAAGAUUUUGAACCGCAUGGUUCAAAAGUGAAAGACGGUCUUGCUGUCACUUAUAGAUGGAUCCGCGCUGCAUUAGCUAGUUGGUAAGGUAACGGCUUACGAAGGCAACGAGGCAUAGCCGACGUGAGAGGCUGAUAGCCCACCCUGGAGCUGAGACACGGUCAAGGCUACUAAGAGACGGACCAGUCGGGAAUCUUCCGCAAUGGGCGAAAGCCUGACGGAGCAACGCCGCGUGUGUGAUGGCGGUCCUCGGAUCGUGAAAAUCUGUUAUUAGGGAAGAACCUCUGUGUAAGUAAAUGUGCACAUCUUGACGGUAACUAAUAAGAAAGCAACGGCUAACUACGUG
Molecule: ribosomal RNA, 497 nt
Filed under: uncultured bacterium
Lineage: Bacteria
Description: partial 16S ribosomal RNA
Rfam family: Bacterial small subunit ribosomal RNA
Source: RNAcentral